GGAUGCAGCUUUGGGCAGCCAGCUGUAGUGGUUGGCAACCCUGCCCAGAGCAGGGGGCUUGAAACUAGAUGAUCUU
Molecule: long non-coding RNA, 76 nt
Organism: Oxyura jamaicensis (ruddy duck)
Lineage: Eukaryota; Metazoa; Chordata; Aves; Anseriformes; Anatidae
Exons: 3
Source: RefSeq, a predicted model, not a curated record